CCUAGAGUUGUAGGCUUUGCCUGCUAUCUCUUACCCAUGUCUUUUGAGUACCUUACGUUUCCUCGGUGGGUUCGCCCACCGAUUGGACAAACUUAAACCCUUUGCAGUUGAAAUCAGCGUCUGAAAAACCUUAAUAGUUA
Molecule: unclassified non-coding RNA, 140 nt
Filed under: soil metagenome
Description: partial internal transcribed spacer 1
Source: RNAcentral